UAAGCGGCCUGAGAGGGUGACCGGUCACACUGGGCACUGAGACACGGCCAGACUCCUACGGGAGGCAGCAGUGGGGAAUAUUGCACAAUGGGCGCAAUCCUGAUGCAGCAACGCCGCGUGAGGGAUGAAGGCCUUCGGGUUGUAAACCUCUUUUAGCAGGGAAGAAGCGAAAGUGACGGUACCUGCAGAAAAAGCUACCGGG
This 202-nucleotide ribosomal RNA is filed under the name uncultured bacterium. RNAcentral's name for it is "partial 16S ribosomal RNA". It matches the Rfam family "Bacterial small subunit ribosomal RNA", at positions 284 to 498 of the family's 1533-position model. The record is from RNAcentral.